CUCUCUAUCUCUCUCUCUCAUUUCUUUGGUUUUUCUCUUAGAGCAAUAUAUGAGUUUUGCCUGUCCAAUUUUUAGGCUCUCUCUGCGGUUUGUUCAAGUUUCAUCUUUCGUCAUUGUUCACUAAUUACUAAGCAGCAGUAGAUAGCUUUGUCUAACCAAUUUCAGGCUUCUCCUAAAGAGUUGUUUGUCUAACCAAUUUCAGGCUUCUCCUAAAGAGUUGUUGCUCUCUCUCUCUCUCUCUCUCUCUCUCUCUCUCGAUCUCUCUCGACAUGAUUCUUGAUUUUAUGGAAACAGUUGAUAGUGGCUCUCGACAUGAUUCUUGAUUUUAUGGAAACAGUUGAUAGUGGCUGGAGUAGCAGGUGGGAUAUGGGCC
RNAcentral lists this long non-coding RNA (373 nucleotides) under Amborella trichopoda. RNAcentral describes it as "long non-coding RNA (ATRI_LNC001342)". The record is from RNAcentral. Lineage: Eukaryota; Viridiplantae; Streptophyta; Magnoliopsida; Amborellales; Amborellaceae.